UGGCGGACGGGUGAGGAACGCGUAGGGAUUUGUCGUUGGGUGGGGGAUAACCGCGGGAAACUGCGGCUAAUACCGCAUGACGCCUGUGGGCCAAAGGUGUGUGAGCACUGCCUGACGAGGAGCCUGCGUCCGAUUAGCUAGUAGGUUGGGUAAUGGCUGACCUAGGCUGUGAUCGGUAGCUGGUCUGAGAGGAUGAUCAGCCACACUGGGACUGAGACACGGCCCAGACUCCUACGGGGCAGCAGCG
This 247-nucleotide ribosomal RNA is filed under the name uncultured Rhodovibrio sp. RNAcentral's name for it is "partial 16S ribosomal RNA". It matches the Rfam family "Bacterial small subunit ribosomal RNA", at positions 96 to 356 of the family's 1533-position model. The record is from RNAcentral. Lineage: Bacteria; Pseudomonadati; Pseudomonadota; Alphaproteobacteria; Rhodospirillales; Rhodovibrionaceae.